RNAcentral lists this microRNA (20 nucleotides) under Ophiophagus hannah (king cobra). Its description in RNAcentral is "oha-miR-599". Its record names the gene oha-miR-599. Lineage: Eukaryota; Metazoa; Chordata; Lepidosauria; Squamata; Elapidae. The record is from miRBase by way of RNAcentral.
GUUGUGUCAAUUUAUCAAAC